This 87-nucleotide transfer RNA is filed under the name Ketogulonicigenium vulgare WSH-001. Its description in RNAcentral is "Ketogulonigenium vulgarum WSH-001 tRNA". It matches the Rfam family "tRNA". From Rfam's summary of the family: Transfer RNA (tRNA) molecules are approximately 80 nucleotides in length. Their secondary structure includes four short double-helical elements and three loops (D, anti-codon, and T loops). The record is from Rfam by way of RNAcentral. Lineage: Bacteria; Pseudomonadati; Pseudomonadota; Alphaproteobacteria; Rhodobacterales; Roseobacteraceae.
GGAGCAGUGGCCGAGUGGUCUAAGGCAGCGGUCUUGAAAACCGCCGGGCCAGUGAUGGUCCCGUGGGUUCGAAUCCCACCUGCUCCG